Ornithodoros turicata is the source of this 193-nucleotide small nuclear RNA. RefSeq annotates it as U2 spliceosomal RNA. Lineage: Eukaryota; Metazoa; Arthropoda; Arachnida; Ixodida; Argasidae. The record is from RefSeq and is a predicted model, not a curated record. The transcript has a single exon.
AUACUUGUAAGUAAUGUUCCAAACUCAGUAAUGUAAUAAAACCAAUUCUGUUCUUAUCAGCUUAAUAUCUGAUACGAGCCCUAUUUGGACUCACGAUAUUAUUUUUGGCCCCAGACAGUGUGUCUGGAGCUCGCCUCGGCAGUGUCGAGGGUUGCCCUGGUAUUGCACUACCUGCAGGUGCGGCCCACCCGUC